CAGGGAGACAACAAAAUGUUUAAUAUUAUUAUUUUGUCACCUUAGGUCGAUCGGUAUCUCACAUUCUUAAUCUAUUAAGGAUUUCAUUUCUUAAGUUUUUCUAGGUCACACCCAUUAUUUUUCCUGGGCCAUUAGCUCAGGUGGUUAGAGCGCACCCCUGAUAAGGGUGAGGUCCCUGGUUCAAGUCCAGGAUGGCCCAUCUCUCUAUGUUGGGGGUAUAGCUCAGUUGGUAGAGCGCCUGCUUUGCAAGCAGGAUGUCAGCGGUUCGAGUCCGCUUACCUCCACUGAUUACCACCUCUUCCAUAUUCUGUAGAAGGGAAAUGUUUUGUGUUGUGAUCACAUUCUGAACGAAUCUAGCUUCCUAAUGAAUUAAUUAAGAUGCUGGACUCAUUGAAUUAUUUUCAUUGAUUUCAGAGAACCUUGACAACUGCAUAGAUUAUUUUUAAAGACAAUAAGCAUUUUAAUGAUGCAGAUUUAUUAUUUGUGCGAAUGCACUAAUAACAAUUCUAUAAGCUGAUGCUUCAA
RNAcentral lists this transfer RNA (525 nucleotides) under uncultured Prochlorococcus sp. RNAcentral describes it as "partial 16S-23S ribosomal RNA intergenic spacer". The stretch from base 212 to 284 matches the Rfam family "tRNA". The record is from RNAcentral. Lineage: Bacteria; Bacillati; Cyanobacteriota; Cyanophyceae; Synechococcales; Prochlorococcaceae.